Leptonychotes weddellii (Weddell seal) is the source of this 2558-nucleotide non-coding RNA. The record is from RefSeq and is a predicted model, not a curated record. NCBI's taxonomy places the organism in Eukaryota, Metazoa, Chordata, Mammalia, Carnivora, Phocidae.
CAGUUUCCGGAAUCCCAGCAAUGGCGGCUCUGGACUCGCUGUCGCUCUUCACCGGCCUUGGCCUGAGCGAGCAUAAGGCCCGGGAGACGCUCAAGAACACGGCUCUGAGCGCGCAGCUGCGCGAGGCGGCGACCCAGGCGCAGCAGACUCUGGGCUCCACCAUCGACAAAGCUACCGGGACCCUGCUAUAUGGCUUGGCAUCCCGACUCAGGGAUCCCCGGCGUCUUUCUUUCCUUGUGAGCUACAUAGCCAAUAAGAAGAUCCACACCGAGCUCCAGCUGAGCGCUGCCCUUGAGUAUGUGCGAAGUCAUCCCUUGGACCCCAUCAACACCGAGGACUUUGAGCAGGAAUGUGGUGUGGGUGUCAUGGUGACCCCAGAGCAGAUUGAAGAGGCUGUGGAGGCCGCCAUAAAUCGUCACCAGCCCCAGCUCCUGGAGGAGCGUUAUCGUUUCAACAUGGGACUGCUGAUGGGAGAGGCUCGAGCUGUGCUCAAGUGGGCAGAUGGCAGAAUGAUCAAGCAUGAAGUGGACAUGCAGGUUCUUCACCUUCUGGGUCCCAAGACAGAGACUGAUCUGGAGAAGAAACCCAAGGUGUCAAAAGCUCGGCCAGAAGAAAAAGACCGGAGGACAGCAAAGGACUUGAUGGAGAAUGGUGAGGCGGCUGAUCAGGGCCUGUCUCUGAUGGAGCAGCUCCGAGGGGAGGCACUUAAGUUCCACAAACCUGGUGAGAACUAUAAGACCCCAGGCUAUGUGACCACUCCACACACCAUGGACCUACUGAAGCAGCACCUGGAGAUUACUGGAGGACAGGUACGGACCCGGUUCCCGCCGGAACCCAAUGGAAUCCUGCACAUAGGACAUGCCAAAGCCAUCAAUUUCAACUUCGGCUAUGCCAAGGCUAACAAUGGGAUCUGUUUUCUGCGCUUUGAUGACACCAACCCUGAGAAGGAGGAAGCAAGGUUCUUCACUGCCAUCUGUGACAUGGUGUCCUGGCUGGGUUACACUCCUUACAAGGUUACAUAUGCCUCUGACUAUUUUGACCAGCUGUAUGCCUGGGCUAUGGAGCUCAUCCAUAGGGGCCAGGCCUAUGUGUGCCACCAGCGAGGAGAGGAGCUCAAAGGCCAUAACUCGUUGCCCUCACCCUGGAGAGACCGUCCCAUAGAGGAGUCACUGCUGCUCUUUGAGGCAAUGCGCAAGGGCAAGUUUGCGGAGGGUGAGGCCACACUGCGCAUGAAGUUGGUGAUGGAGGAUGGCAAGAUGGACCCUGUGGCCUAUCGAGUCAAGUACACACCACACCAUCGCACGGGGGACACCUGGUGCAUCUAUCCCACCUACGACUACACACACUGCCUCUGUGACUCCAUCGAGCACAUCACCCACUCGCUCUGCACCAAGGAAUUCCAGGCCCGACGCUCUUCCUACUUCUGGCUGUGCAAUGCAUUGGAUGUCUAUUGCCCUGUUCAGUGGGAGUACGGCCGUCUCAACCUUCACUAUGCCGUUGUGUCUAAGAGGAAGAUUCUCCAGCUUGUGGCAGCUGGUGCUGUGCGGGACUGGGACGACCCACGGCUCUUCACACUCACAGCCUUACGACGGCGGGGCUUUCCGCCUGAGGCCAUCAACAACUUUUGUGCUCGGGUGGGGGUGACAGUGGCACAGACCACGAUGGAACCCCAUCUGCUAGAAGCCUGCGUGCGUGAUGUGCUGAAUGAUACAGCCCCACGGGCUAUGGCUGUGCUGGAGCCUUUACAGGUCAUCAUCACCAACUUUCCUGCUAUCAAGUCCUUAGACAUCCAGGUUCCCAACUUCCCAGCUGAUGAGACCAAGGGCUUCCAUCAGGUUCCCUUUGGACCCAUGGUCUUCAUUGAAAGGACUGAUUUCAAAGAAUUUACCUACUUCCUACUUCAGAUGAGCCAGCCCCUGCCAGAAAUGGGGGUGGGGAGAAGCCUCUUCUACCUUUUUGACCUGUGCAGUCUCUUGUGUCCACACCACUUCCUACCUCUAGGAGCCAGAGCCAGGCUAUAAGCGCCUGGCAUGGGGCCAGCCUGUGGGCCUGAGGCAUACUGGCUACGUCAUCGAGCUGCAGAAUGUUUUCAAGGGCCCCACUGGCUGUGUAGAGAGCCUGGAAGUGACCUGUAGACAGGCGGAUGCUGGAGAAAAGCCCAAGGCCUUUAUUCACUGGGUGUCACAGCCUCUGACUUGUGAGAUUCGCCUUUAUGAGAGACUAUUUCAGCACAAGAACCCUGAGGAUCCUGCUGAGGUGCCUGGUGGAUUCUUAAGUGACCUGAACCUGGCAUCGCUACAAGUGGUGGAGGCAGCGUUAGUGGACUGCUCUGUGGCCCUGGCAAAGCCCUUUGACAAGUUCCAGUUUGAGCGGCUUGGCUACUUCUCCGUGGAUCCAGACAGCUGCCAGGGACAGCUUGUCUUCAACCGGACUGUCACACUGAAGGAGGACCCAGGAAAGGUGUGAGCUGUAAGGAAGCCCCGUGGAACUACCUCAUGCUUCUGGAGGCUAGGGGUACCCAGACUCCGUAUCAAUAAAGAACAGCUAAAUCCCCUGGA